CGGGGUGUAGCGCAGCCCGGUAGCGCACCUGAAUGGGGUUCAGGUGGUCGGCCGUUCAAAUCGGCCCACCCCGACCA
RNAcentral lists this transfer RNA (77 nucleotides) under Dehalococcoidia bacterium. RNAcentral's name for it is "tRNA-Pro". It matches the Rfam family "tRNA". Rfam says of the family: Transfer RNA (tRNA) molecules are approximately 80 nucleotides in length. Their secondary structure includes four short double-helical elements and three loops (D, anti-codon, and T loops). Lineage: Bacteria; Bacillati; Chloroflexota; Dehalococcoidia. The record is from RNAcentral.